CGCGGACGUGUGUCGGUCGUCGCUGCCGUCGCUCGCUACGCCUACGCUCUCGUUUUCUGUUUGUCCAUCUUGUGAUUGCAAAAAUUAAAAAAAAAAACACAAGCAGCAAGCAUCAGCCCAAAGGCAAGAAAUUUAACAACAAAUUUUCUUUUUCACGCGUAUGUGUGUGCGUGUGUGUACAUAUAUUUUUACUAACCAAAGCGUGAAAAAAUAGUUUUAAUAAAAAAAAAACGCAAAUUGCUAAAAAAUUUGUUUUCUUUUUUUUUUCGGUGUUGUUUUUGUUAUUGUUAUUAAUCGUGCACAGCUGCUGGAAAUAUACAUAGAAACAUAUAUAUGUCAUAGACGCCACCGACGCGCACCGCAGCCAUGCGCAUCAGAAGCAGCAGCGGCAACAACAUCAGCCAGAACAACAACAGCAACAGCAACAACAACAGCAACAGCAGCAACAAUCGAUGAUUGCCUAAGAGUAAGCUAUAAAGAUAGAACGAGCGAUUGCAGGAAGUGACAAGUUGAAGAAGUUGCGGCUGCGAAAAGCGAAGCGAGAACGAGUUACACACUAAGUUAAAGCUAAAGCUGAAGCUGAACCUAAAGCCCGCCGUAAUAUAACCAAAGACGCCAAAGACCAAUUUAAAAAUAAUAAUAAACACCGACCGACGACUCCAUAAUGCUGAUCAAGGAGUACCGCAUACCUCUGCCCCUCACCGUUGAGGAGUAUCGCAUUGCCCAACUGUACAUGAUAGCGAAAAAGAGCCGCGAGGAGAGUCAUGGCGAAGGCAGCGGCGUUGAGAUUAUUAUCAAUGAACCAUAUAAAGAUGGACCCGGCGGCAAUGGACAGUAUACGAAAAAAAUCUAUCAUGUCGGCAGUCAUUUACCCGGCUGGAUUAAAAGUCUGCUGCCCAAAAGCGCGCUAACCGUGGAGGAGGAAGCCUGGAAUGCUUAUCCGUAUACACGCACUCGUUAUACCUGCCCCUUUGUGGAGAAAUUUUCGCUGGACAUUGAGACGUAUUAUCAUCCUGACAAUGGCUAUCAGGACAAUGUGUUUCAGCUGUCGGGCAGUGAUCUACGCAAUCGCGUUGUAGAUGUGAUUGACAUUGUCAAGGAUCAGCUAUGGGGCGGAGAUUAUGUGAAGGAAGAGGAUCCCAAGCAUUUCGUAUCGGACAAGACGGGUCGUGGUCCGCUUGGCGAUGAUUGGCUUGAGGAGUAUUGGCGCGAAGUGAAGGGCAAGAAGCAGCCAACGCCACGAAAUAUGUCGCUAAUGACCGCCUAUAAGAUAUGCCGCGUCGAGUUUCGCUAUUGGGGCAUGCAAACCAAGCUGGAGAAGUUCAUACACGAUGUCGCGUUGCGCAAGACAAUGCUACGCGCCCAUCGUCAGGCCUGGGCGUGGCAGGACGAAUGGCAUGGCCUAACCAUCGAGGACAUACGCGAGCUUGAGUUGCAAACGCAGUUGGCUUUGGCCAAGAAAAUGGGCAGUGGCGAGGAAUGUAGUGAUGAAAGCACCUCUGAACCGUAUGUGAGCAGCGCCACAGUUGCCCCACAAUUGGGUGAGCGAAAGAAAUCUGCUCCGGCUGUGCCACCAAUUGUCACCCAGCAACCGCCCAGCGCAGAGGCCAGCUCCGAUGAGGAUGAUGACGACGAUGAUGAGGAGGAUGAAAACGAUGGAGUGGGCACUGGCGUUGAGCUGGGUGCCCAAAGCAGCAGCAAUCAACGGUCUCGUUCCCAAAGCAUUCAGUUGGCCAAUAAAGCAAAGUUUGGCUCAAAGGGCGCUCUCCACUCGCCGGUGGGUUCGGCGCACAGUUUUGAUCUGCAGCCCACAAAACCGCAUGCAAAGACAGCGCCACGCCGACAUGUGGCCAACUGGCGCAUGGAACGUCUUGAGGUUGACUCCAAGUCCAACUCAGAUGAGGAGUUCUUCGAUUGUCUGGACACAAAUGAGACAAAUUCCCUGGCCAAAUGGAGUUCACUGGAGCUGCUCGGCGAGGGCGACGACAGUCCGCCGCCGCAUGGUGGCAGCUCGAGCGGCAGCGGUGGAGGCGGCGGUGCCAGUGGACGGCAUAAGCAAGACGAUAGCAUAUUCAAUCAGGACUUUCUAAUGCGUGUCGCAUCGGAGCGCGGCAAUAAGCGACAGCUGCGCUCCUCGGCGAGCAUCGAUCGCAGUCACGACUCAUCGCCCCCAGGAUCGCCGAGCACACCCUCUUGCCCCACCACCAUACUGGUGAUGGUGGUGCAUGCCGGCAGCGUGCUGGAUGCGGCCAGUGAAUUGACCGCCAAGAAAUCGGAUGUGACCACAUUCCGUGGCUCUUUCGAGGCCGUUAUGCGUCAGCAUUAUCCCAACCUGUUGACGCAUAUGACGAUCAAAAUGGUGCCGUGUCCAUCGAUAUGCACCGAUGCCCUUGGCAUCCUCUCCAGCCUCAGUCCGUACUCGUUCGAUGCCUCACCAUCGGCCGCCGAUAUACCCAACAUAGCGGAUGUGCCCAUCGGUGCGAUUCCGUUGCUCGCUGUGGCAUCGCCUGAAUUCCAGGAGACGGUUAAUAAAACGGUGGCCGCUGCCAAUAUUGUGUAUCAUGAGUUCCUCAAAUCGGAGGAGGGUCACGGCUUCUCCGGCCAAAUUGUCAUGCUGGGCGAUUCGAUGGGUUCGCUGCUCGCCUACGAGGCGCUUUGUCGUGGCAAUGGCAGCGCCACUCAGCCGAAUACAUCGUCCAACCAAUCACAGACACCAGCGACGGGUGCGGGUGUCGAUGGAAGUUGCCGCAUGUCACGCAUGGACGAUGAUGAGCGUUUUAUUGAUUCCGAUUUGGAUGCCAAACGUUUGUUGGUCGCCCCAUCGCCGCGACGUCGUCGCUCCAGUUCGUCGAGUGAUUCGCGUGCCACGAAAUUGGAUUUCGAAGUCAGUGAUUUCUUUAUGUUUGGCUCACCGUUGUCGGUGGUGUUGGCCGCACGUAAAUUGCACGAUGCCAAGGCGGCGCUGGCACGUCCCAAUUGCCAUCAGGUGUACAAUCUGUUCCAUCCAACCGAUCCAAUUGCCUCGCGUCUCGAGCCGUUGCUCAGUGCUCGCUUCUCCAUAUUGUCGCCGGUGAAUGUGCCGCGCUAUGCCAAAUAUCCGUUGGGCAAUGGACAGCCCCUGCAUUUAUUGGAGGUCAUACAAUCGCAUCCGCAGCAUUUCAAUGAUGGCAAUAAUCUGUUGGCUGGCAGACGUCUAUCCGAUGCCUCCAUGCAGAGUACCAUCUCUGGUCUCAUCGAGAAUGUCUCGCUCAGCACGAUACACUCAUUACAAAACAAAUGGUGGGGCACCAAGCGCUUGGACUAUGCGCUCUACUGUCCGGAGGGUUUGAGCAACUUCCCUGCACACGCAUUGCCGCAUUUGUUCCAUGCCAGCUACUGGGAGAGUCCCGAUGUGAUUGCCUUUAUAUUGCGACAAAUUGGCAAAUUCGAGGGCAUACCGUUUGUGGGCUCCAACGAUGACAAGGACAACGCCUCGUUUCAUCCGGGGCAACCGCGCGAAAAGUGGAUCAAGAAGCGCACGUCGGUUAAGCUGAAGAAUGUGGCAGCGAAUCAUCGGGCCAACGAUGUGAUUGUGCAGGAGGGACGUGAACAGCGUUUGAAUGCGCGUUUCAUGUACGGCCCGUUGGAUAUGAUAACGUUGCAUGGGGAGCGGGUGGAUGUGCAUAUUAUGAAGGAUCCGCCGGCGGGUGAAUGGACAUUCCUAACCACCGAAAUGACCGACAAGAAUGGACGCAUCUCGUACAGUAUACCCGAUCAAUUGUCACUUGGUUAUGGCAUCUAUCCGGUCAAGAUGGUGGUGCGUGGCGAUCACACCUCUGUCGAUUGUUAUAUGGCCGUGGUGCCGCCAAUGACGGAAUGUGUUGUAUUCAGCAUCGAUGGUUCCUUCACCGCAUCCAUGUCGGUGACCGGACGUGAUCCGAAAGUCCGUGCCGGUGCCGUCGACGUCUGUCGGCAUUGGCAAGAGUUGGGCUAUUUGCUCAUCUAUAUCACGGGUCGACCCGAUAUGCAGCAACAGCGUGUCGUCUCGUGGCUGAGUCAGCAUAACUUUCCACACGGUCUUAUCUCGUUCGCCGAUGGUUUAUCCACCGAUCCGUUGGGUCACAAGACCGCCUAUCUCAAUAAUCUCGUGCAAAAUCAUGGAAUCUCAAUUACCGCCGCCUAUGGCAGUAGCAAGGAUAUUAGUGUGUACACCAAUGUGGGCAUGCGACACGAACAAAUCUUUAUUGUUGGCAAGGUCAGCAAGAAAUUGCAAUCGAAUGCAACAGUGCUGACCGAGGGCUAUGCCGCUCAUUUGGCCGGUCUCCAGGCAGUUGGUGGCUCUCGGCCGGCAAAGGGCAAUGCACGCAUGGUCAUACCUCGAGGUUGCUUCAAUCUGCCCGGACAAUCCGCGAAUCCGAGACGCAGAAGGCUGCAUGAACAAGCAACGAAUGAAGUUUAAAACGUUUACCAACACUGUAGUUGUUAUGCAAGAGCGUAAAUUCCAUUAGACAUCAACAACAACAACAACUACUACUACUACUAUAAAUAUACAACGAACACGACAAAAACAAAAACAAAACAAAAAAAGAGAGAGAGAGAUCGCAAAUUGGUGUUUUUAGUGUUCAAAAGUUAUUGAUAUUCAUUUCAGUUGGAUUAAGUUGAAUUGAUUUUGCUGGUGUUAUGUUUAAGUGCAAUUUUAGCUGAGCAUUUAUCGAUAUCAGCAAGUUAUCGAGAUUUGCUUUUUUACUUUCAGUUUGAUUUGUUCGUUAUGUUUAGUUUUAUGCAAUUUAGCUGAGCAUUUUCUUGAUUCGGUGUUGUGCAAAAUAAAAAAAACAAAAACAAAAAAAACCAAAAAAAAAAAAAAAAACGGCAUUUGAUUGGAGCAAAAUGCGCCAUCAACUGACAUCUCAACCUUAACUCUGUCUCUUUUUUCAACCAAAAACAAACGAAAAAUUUUAUUCUCUUAAAAAAAAAAACAUUAAAACAUUGAAAAAUCUACAAAACAACAAAUCAAAAAACACAAAACACACUCACACAUUAAUACCACCAUCAACUUGACAUCGCAGCAAUGAGACGGGCCUUUCAUCGCCAAUACGAAGUGGAUACCUGAAGCGCAAAACCUACUUAAGCCAUCACUAGAAUCCCGAUUUGGAGAGUGGCAAUGAUUUGUUUAGUUAAAGAAAUCGAGCAACCAUCGAGAAACUCCAUAAAUAUCUCAAAUAGUACACACAUAGAUCCACCAUCUAACAAGUGCUUCGAUCCUGUGUAGCUGAGACAUGCAACAAUACCAACAAUAAAUCAUCUAAUAAUAAUCUUAAUCAGUUCGUGGAUCCUCGAUCAGCAUUAGUUGCAGUUUAACACCACCAACCAACCAAACAACCAACCAACCAACAGCAGCAAAAGCAACAAAACAACCGAACACAUCUCAGCAUCGAUGCUCCCCAUAAACUACAUCUGUGUAUAUACAUAAAAAAUAUAUAUAUAUUAUGCGCGAUAUAUAGCAAAAUUAUAUGGUGUAUAUAAAAAUAAACAAAUGCAAAGAAACAAAACAAAAAAAAAAACUUUAAUUCAAUUGUACAACAUAUUAAUAAAGUCAAAUGUGUCACGCGGUACCUGGAAAGAAAGACUGUUUCCUCCUGUUGUUUGAUGGUUUUCCAAACCACUUAAAGAAAAAAAUACAAAUCACAAAAAAAAAAACACUAAAAUCUAAAAAAAAAAACUUAAAUGGAAAAUGAAUUCAUAAUUUAAAGGCAAACAAAAAAUUAAAAGCACAAACAAAUAAUGUGCUAUAUAUUGUAUAACAAAAUCAUAAAAAAAAGAAA
Drosophila albomicans is the source of this 5801-nucleotide RNA transcript. It is a transcript of the gene named protein retinal degeneration B, with no coding region annotated. The transcript has 14 exons. The record is from RefSeq and is a predicted model, not a curated record. NCBI's taxonomy places the organism in Eukaryota, Metazoa, Arthropoda, Insecta, Diptera, Drosophilidae.